This 320-nucleotide ribosomal RNA is filed under the name uncultured eukaryote. Its description in RNAcentral is "partial 18S ribosomal RNA". It matches the Rfam family "Eukaryotic small subunit ribosomal RNA", at positions 1470 to 1796 of the family's 1831-position model. The record is from RNAcentral.
CCCUUAGAUGUUCUGGGCUGCACGCGUGCUACAAUGGCGCUUGCAACAAGAUUGCCAACCCGAAAGGGUGAGCGGAUCUUUGAAGUGACGUCGUGAUCGGGACAGUCGAUUGCAAUUAUUCGGCUCGAACGAGGAAUUCCUUGUAAUCGCGAUUCAUCAUAUCGCGCUGAAUACGUCCCUGCCCUUUGUACACACCGCCCGUCGCUCCUACCGAUUGAGCGAUCCGGUGAAUGUCUUGGACUGGUGUCCGCAAGCGUUUCGCUUCGGACGCUACGAAAUUUUGUAAACCUUAUCGCUUAGAGGAAGGAAAAGUCGUAACA